RNAcentral lists this ribosomal RNA (253 nucleotides) under uncultured bacterium. RNAcentral's name for it is "partial 16S ribosomal RNA". It matches the Rfam family "Bacterial small subunit ribosomal RNA", at positions 524 to 776 of the family's 1533-position model. The record is from RNAcentral.
UACGUAGGCAGCAAGCGUUGUUCGGAAUUACUGGGCGUAAAGAGUGUGUAGGCGGUGCUCUAAGUUCGGUGUGAAAUCUCCCUGCUUAACUGGGAGGGUGCGCCGGAAACUGGAGUGCUCGAGCGUGGGAGAGGAAAGCGGAAUUCCUGGUGUAGCGGUGAAAUGCGUAGAUAUCAGGAGGAACACCGGUGGCGAAGGCGGAUCUCUGGGCCUUACCUGACGCUCAGGUGCGAAAGCUAGGGGAGCGAACAGG